UUGAAGUUUGGAAGUAGAUGG
RNAcentral lists this unclassified non-coding RNA (21 nucleotides) under Dictyostelium discoideum. Lineage: Eukaryota; Evosea; Eumycetozoa; Dictyosteliales; Dictyosteliaceae. The record is from RNAcentral.